Non-coding RNA from Pelobates cultripes (western spadefoot toad), 207 nucleotides. Lineage: Eukaryota; Metazoa; Chordata; Amphibia; Anura; Pelobatidae. The record is from the annotation of a GenBank genome assembly.
CAAGGAGCUGUCGUAAAACAUAUACGAAUGGUAUGCAUUCAGCUUGCGUGAGUAAGUGAGAUACAGAAUAAACAUAGAAAUUAAAGAUGUACCCAGAAUACGCAUCCAUCAGUAUAGCAAGUCUUAUGUCACAGGAGGUCUGAGGUUCCUUCAAAUCCACUUUGUAUUUUUUAACGCACAGAACUCCAGAUGGACUGUCAUAUGAAC